Molecule: unclassified non-coding RNA, 392 nt
Filed under: Hevea brasiliensis (rubber tree)
Lineage: Eukaryota; Viridiplantae; Streptophyta; Magnoliopsida; Malpighiales; Euphorbiaceae
Source: RNAcentral
AUAAAAAAAAAAAAAAAAGAAAAGGUUUCGGUGCAUGUUGGUAUACGCGAUAAGAGUAUCGUCGCUUUCGGUUCUGUGUCCGUACACGUGGUUGCAACGUUUUCGGUGAGAAUAGUUUUCGAUCUAAUCGAUUUGACGGUAGAUGAUGUAGGAUUGCAGUUAAUGUCUCACAGAGAAUCCAAAUUCCCACAAUUUUUUUGGGAUGUUCUAUUGACGGCGCGUCACGGGCACUGCGAUUUCUCCUCCCAUUUCCCCCGCUUGUCCGUGUGCUUUUUGAUACGAUUUUUCUUACCAUUUUUUUGGCCAUGCUUUUUUGUUUUUCAUUUUUCCUGGUUUAAUAUUAAUAUUUUUUAUUUUUUCGUUCUAUUAUAUAUUCCAUAUUGGGAUUGUGC